UCCAACGCAGUAUUGCCGCCAAUAGCUUCAAGAUUCCAACCGUCUACACCUAUCAACUCCGCCGGCUCCAUCCCACAUCUACACACAUCCCCACCAUUACCUUCAUUCUCCUCCUACUGGAAAAAUACUAGCAAGUCUCAUUGCUACUCUACACACAAUUUUCUACUACUCUUCCACCACAAUUGUCUACUAUCGGCAGGCCACCUGCAUCCCACUCUUUGCCAUCUCUCCCAAGCCAUAAACACAAAACAAAUCCAACACACCAUCAUUAGUGACACCACACUUUCUCCCAUAUGAACUAUUGGGCUACAGCCCAAUGGAGCCCUGGCCCGGAUAACAUUUUUAUGUGUAAUUUUUCUUGGGAAAAAAAAAAAACAUUAUAGCUAGGCGUAAAUUUAAGAUUAGCCCACCAAAUCAUACAUUCAUACUUCUCUAUUCUCAUUUUUCCAAUUGAUUCUAAAAAUGCCCAAGUGAAGAGCCUGAAGCCUCUGCAUUCUACAAGCCAGAAAGAAAACGGUACUGGUGGCAACCUCGUUGUGAGCUUGAGCUAUUAUCAUUUCCGAUUCAUCACGGUUUAUCACUUCAUCUUCGAUCCUUCGCCGUCCACCGCACUACAGAAUUUUUUUGAGUUAAAACUCGAGAGACACAACUUCAGUAGGUAAUGUCGUAAUGAAAUUUUAUGUUGUAUGCUUUAUAAAAAUUUGUGCAGAUACAUUUUAAAUUUCAGCCCCCCAACAUGAUGUUUUGGAUCUGCCUCUGAUCACGAAACACUAUUUCCAUCACCUCCAAGGACAUACUUUGUUCUUCCCACUGUGAACCGCUAUCAAACAACUCUCGCAACUUAAUCCCUGUCUCCCACUAACUCAAUACUCCAACUGCCCCACCUCUACCUCAUGCCUUCACACCAUCCCAGUAGAUGUGAAUCUCAAAAGUCGUUAUCAAAGAACAAUAGUAGAACGCAGAAUUUUGAAGCUUUUCGGAAUUGACCAAGCCCUUAGAAUAGAGAAAUCAGGCAUAUUCCUCCACAUUUAAUUGUUGAGACUUUAGGACACAACUCAUUAACCAGAGAUUUUGGGGAAAUUGGAAGAGAUGUGUUGGGGUAGCAGUCUAUGCUACAGAUUUGGAAACUUACGUGUGCAUCAGCAGCCGCUCGAAUUUAAACCUUGCGAGGUAUAUCAAUUUGUUAUUUGAGAUCUUUACUUUCUAUUUAGGCGUUUGUGGCCCAUCAAAUCUCUUAUGAAAAAUAUCAUGUCAAACCAAUUUUAAUGUGUGAGAGAACUCAUGCAGUAUAAUACAUCUUUCAAUAACUAUCACGGUCAUGUACCUUUACCUAAUCAUUCUUAUUAUCUCUGUUGCACGAACACUUUAACUAUGAUAGUGUGUCCGCGUCUAACAAUCCUCGAACACUUUACCAUGAUCAUAUUUCUUUUUUUUUAUAUAUUUUUAACUCAAAUUUAUUAAUAAAUAAUAAAAAGGUACUCAUAUUUAAAAGAUUUCAAAAAAAUAAAAAACUAAUAACGAGAAUAAAACUAAAUUUAUACAAUAUAAAUGAUAAAUUUUAAUAAUGUAAUUAAUGUGUCGAUGACAUGCCACGUCAAUACUUUUUUGAAAAAUUGUCUGUCAACGUAUUCGACAUGUGUCAUGUUGGACACACAUAUUCUUAUCAGUGCAUUAUAGCCUAUUAUCCUCCAUCUAGAUUACAAUUAUGGGACUUUGAUGGUCUUAUUGGUCUCGAUUCAUUUCUUGAUUGGCUCGAGUCUCUUGACUAGUUUUUUUAUUUUAUCAUGCUCAUAGGGCAUUUGUAGGAUCCGUUAUGUGUUAUUGGAAGUCAUUUUUGCAUUACAUUGAUAACCUAGAUUAAUGUCCUAUCACUUUGCGGGAUAAGAUGAAAUGAAUUCUAAGUAAUAAAUAUGCCCGGUAUACUAUAAAACUCAAUCGCUAAAUUAAUUCAUUUUGCACUAUAGGCAAGAUACCUUUACUGUUAGUAAGUAUCUAGUCUAUUUCAAAGAGUUAUUGAACAAUUGUCAUGUUUAUAAGUCCUGAAUUUUUCCUGCUGAUAUUCUUGCAUUCCAAUCCCUAGACGAUGCUUACCAAUAGACCACCCAUGGAACUUAUCCUUUCAUCUUCAUCAAAAGUGUCAUAAGCCAGGUCUACCACCCAAAUCCCGAAAGUCACCUUUUGAGUCUAGUUGUGUUGCUCUUGAAGAAGAUAUUGAUGUUUCUAUUGUUGAGUCAAUUGAAUAUUUUGACACCGAGGAUGAGGAAUUAUCUAUAUUGUUGCCACCUAAGUCAAACAGUCCAGCUAUCCUUGAUUAUUGAAGUUGAUCUUGCAUAAUCUAUUGUAUGACUCUAACAUUGACUUUGAUAUGGUUUUACCUCCACUUUGUGAUGCUUCUCGAGUUUCCACGUUAUCCAAUGUCAUUGUUCGUUUAAAAUUUUUUUCCACACAUAUAAAAAAAAGAUUGAAUUUCUCACUUGAACUUAUUCUAUAUGAUUGGCCAUUGCACUUAAAUGAGGGUUUUGUUUUCAAUAUAGCAGGAUGUUAUCUUAUCGAGAUACAUUUGAGCUCCAUUGUCGCAGACACUUGUUUUUGUAGGCCAUUUUACUUUGCUAGAUCCUUGUGCUCAUUAUGAACAAUCAAUUGAAGAUUUUGUGGAUGAGUUGCAUAUAUUUCGCUUUUUGGAGUUCCAUGUUGCUAUUUGUUCAGAAGCAAUAACUGUAGCCCUUGAUCAUAUCAUAGAUGUUGGGAGGGUUUGCAGCUUUAGGUGUUCUCAAGUAAUCAGUUCAAAUAUUUGAUUCUCAAGAAAGAUCGCCCUCCUUAGCCCGAGUUCAACCUUAGGAUAUGGUUCAAGGCUCGAUAUAGACAAUUGGUCAAAAUAAAAGAUAAACUUCCUCAAAAUAUGAAGUUCCAGUCAACCUCGCCGGAAUCAAGUUUUCUCAGCCGAUGAUAAAUGAUGCAAUAUUAUAAGAGACAAUUAUUUAUUUAGUUUCCUAUUUUGAUUUGUAACUUAGGGAACAUGAUUAGAAUGUGAUUUAACAACUUUUAUAGUAUUUCUUUACUCGAUAAUGAUUUUUGAAACUUUGAGGGUUAUGACGAUGUAAUAAGAGAACAUUUGAAUGAAUAAAAAUAAUUGAUAUUUUAUUCCCUUA
Long non-coding RNA from Olea europaea var. sylvestris, 3149 nucleotides. RefSeq lists it as uncharacterized. The transcript has 2 exons. The record is from RefSeq and is a predicted model, not a curated record. Lineage: Eukaryota; Viridiplantae; Streptophyta; Magnoliopsida; Lamiales; Oleaceae.